Molecule: ribosomal RNA, 482 nt
Filed under: uncultured bacterium
Lineage: Bacteria
Description: partial 16S ribosomal RNA
Rfam family: Bacterial small subunit ribosomal RNA
Source: RNAcentral
UCCUGGCUCAGGAUGAACGCUAGCGGCAGGCUUAAAUACAUGCAAGUCGAGGGCUCAGCAAUGGGACCGGCGCACGGGUGCGUAACACGUAUGCAACCUGCCUGUAUCUGGGGGAUAGCCUCUCGAAAGAGAGAUUAAUACCCCAUAGUAUAACUGAAGAGCUAUUUUUUGGUUAUUAAAGAUUUAUCGGUUAAAGAUGGGCAUGCGGCUGAUUAGGUAGUUGGUGAGGUAAUGGCUCACCAAGCCAACGAUCAGUAGGGGGUCUGAGAGGAUGUCCCCCCCACACUGGUACUGAGACACGGACCAGACUCCUACGGGAGGCAGCAGUAGGGAAUAUUGGACAAUGGGGGCAACCCUGAUCCAGCCAUUCCGCGUGCAGGAAUAAGGCCCUAUGGGUCGUAAGCUGCUUUUGUAUGGGAAAAAAUCAUCUUACGUGUAGGAUGUUGAUGGUACCAUGAGAAUAAGGAUCGGCUAACUUCGUG